This 858-nucleotide long non-coding RNA is filed under the name Homo sapiens (human). RNAcentral's name for it is "HSALNT0111260". Lineage: Eukaryota; Metazoa; Chordata; Mammalia; Primates; Hominidae. The record is from RNAcentral.
GUUCUCCUCAAUCUCACUGUGGAUAAAGACAAGCGUGUCAUCUUGAAAGAAGGAGGUGGCAUUAAAAAGUUAGUGGACUGUUUAAGAGAUUUGGGUCCUACUGAUUGGCAGCUGGCCUGCUUGGUUUGUAAAACUUUAUGGAACUUCAGUGAAAACAUCACUAAUGCUUCGUCAUGUUUUGGAAAUGAAGACACCAACACACUCUUACUCUUGCUCUCAUCAUUUUUAGAUGAAGAACUAGCACUGGAUGGCAGUUUUGAUCCAGACCUAAAAAACUAUCACAAACUCCAUUGGGAAACAGAAUUCAAACCUGUGGCACAGCAGCUUCUAAACCGAAUUCAGAGACAUCACACCUUCCUGGAACCCCUGCCCAUUCCCUCUUUCUAACAUGAUGCAGAUUAACAGUAGAAACGAGAACUCACGUCUCCCUCAUUCUUAAGAACUGGUAACAAACGUGAACAUUUUUUUCAGCAUUAACAAAUGUGGAAAGUUUUUCAAGAACUGGUUUUAGUGAGUAGCUGAAGUAUUUUUUAAAAUUAAGCAUUUCUUCUUGUUAGGUAUUAUGGAAAAAUGAAUAUACACAUUAUAUUUCCUGUUGAGAGAAAUGUAAGAUGAAAAUAUGUGCAUUUUCAAGUAAAUGACUUUUUCUUCUAUUCUCUAUUAAACAAUUUAGUUCUAGUCUUAAAAUCUUGAUUUAACAAUUUUGGAAUUGAAGUGUUCAUAAGUUAAAUGAACUGUGCAAUGAAGGCUGUUAGAUUAUAUAGAAAGAAGGGUAGGCAACAUGAGUGGAACACGUUACAACAUAGGAUCUGUACUAAUUCUUACUAUGUCAAAUAAUAAAUGCUCUCAUUAGGUACC